CGGGUUCUGCCCGGUACGAGCCUUUAUUAUCCCUGAGGCUAUUCAUCAUCCAUAGGGGGCUGUCCCUGUUAGGAUCCUGGUCCGAAGCACAUGGUCCCCACCUGACGUACCGUGCGUCAGUGGAUAACCCGGCACACGGCCAUGGUGGGCCCGCC
RNAcentral lists this small RNA (155 nucleotides) under Sphingomonas aurantiaca. Its description in RNAcentral is "6S / SsrS RNA". The record is from RNAcentral. Lineage: Bacteria; Pseudomonadati; Pseudomonadota; Alphaproteobacteria; Sphingomonadales; Sphingomonadaceae. RNAcentral also lists the same sequence under 5 other names.